AAUAUUGCACAAUGGGGGAAACCCUGAUGCAGCGACGCCGCGUGAGCUAAGAAGGUCUUCGGGUCGUAAAGCUCUGUCCUAAGGGAAGAAACGCAUGGUACCUUUGGAGGAAGCCACUGCCAACUACGUGCCAGCAGCCGCGGUAAAACGUAGGGGGCGAGCGUUAUCCGGUAUUAUUGGGCGUAAAGGGUGCGGAGGCGGCCUUUUAAGUCAGAUGUGAAAGGCUACGGCUUAACCGUAGUUAGCAUUUGAAACUAAAAGGCUUGAGUGCAGGAGAGGAGAGUGGAAUUCCUAGUGUAGCGGUGAAAUGCGUAGAUAUUAGGAGGAACACCAGUGGCGAAGGCGACUCUCUGGACUGCAACUGACGCUGAGGCACGAAAGCGUGGGGAGCGAACA
This 396-nucleotide ribosomal RNA is filed under the name uncultured bacterium. RNAcentral's name for it is "partial 16S ribosomal RNA". It matches the Rfam family "Bacterial small subunit ribosomal RNA", at positions 360 to 774 of the family's 1533-position model. The record is from RNAcentral.